RNAcentral lists this ribosomal RNA (580 nucleotides) under uncultured Lachnospiraceae bacterium. Its description in RNAcentral is "bacterial SSU rRNA". It matches the Rfam family "Bacterial small subunit ribosomal RNA", at positions 71 to 668 of the family's 1533-position model. The record is from RNAcentral. Lineage: Bacteria; Bacillati; Bacillota; Clostridia; Lachnospirales; Lachnospiraceae.
CUUCGGAUGAAAGUUUGGUGACUGAGUGGCGGACGGGUGAGUAACGCGUGGGUAACCUGCCCUGUACAGGGGGAUAACAGCUGGAAACGGCUGCUAAUACCGCAUAAGCGCACGAGGAGACAUCUCCUAGUGUGAAAAACUCCGGUGGUACAGGAUGGGCCCGCGUCUGAUUAGCUGGUUGGCAGGGUAACGGCCUACCAAGGCAACGAUCAGUAGCCGGUCUGAGAGGAUGAACGGCCACAUUGGAACUGAGACACGGUCCAAACUCCUACGGGAGGCAGCAGUGGGGAAUAUUGCACAAUGGGGGAAACCCUGAUGCAGCAACGCCGCGUGAGUGAAGAAGUAUUUCGGUAUGUAAAGCUCUAUCAGCAGGGAAGAUAAUGACGGUACCUGACUAAGAAGCUCCGGCUAAAUACGUGCCAGCAGCCGCGGUAAUACGUAUGGAGCAAGCGUUAUCCGGAUUUACUGGGUGUAAAGGGUGCGUAGGUGGCAGUGCAAGUCAGAUGUGAAAGGCCGGGGCUCAACCCCGGAGCUGCAUUUGAAACUGCAUAGCUGGAGUACAGGAGAGGCAGGCGGAAUU